AGUGAACGCUGGCGGUAGGCCUAACACAUGCAAGUCGAACGGCAGCACAGUAAGAGCUUGCUCUUACGGGUGGCGAGUGGCGGACGGGUGAGGAAUACAUCGGAAUCUACUUUUUCGUGGGGGAUAACGUAGGGAAACUUACGCUAAUACCGCAUACGACCUACGGGUGAAAGCAGGGGAUCUUCGGACCUUGCGCGAUUGUAUGAGCCGAUGUCGGAUUAGCUAGUUGGCGGGGUAAAGGCCCACCAAGGCGACGCUCCGUAGCUGGUCUGAGAGGAUGAUCAGCCACACUGGAACUGAGACACGGUCCAGACUCCUACGGGAGGCAGCAGUGGGGAAUAUUGGACAAUGGGCGCAAGCCUGAUCCAGCCAUGCCGCGUGGGUGAAGAAGGCCUUCGGGUUGUAAAGCCCUUUUGUUGGGAAAGAAAAGCAGCAGGUUAAUACCCCGCUGUUCUGACGGUACCCAAAGAAUAAGCACCGGCUAACUUCGUG
RNAcentral lists this ribosomal RNA (492 nucleotides) under uncultured bacterium. RNAcentral's name for it is "partial 16S ribosomal RNA". It matches the Rfam family "Bacterial small subunit ribosomal RNA", at positions 29 to 507 of the family's 1533-position model. The record is from RNAcentral.